Cucurbita maxima (winter squash) is the source of this 166-nucleotide long non-coding RNA. RefSeq lists it as uncharacterized. NCBI's taxonomy places the organism in Eukaryota, Viridiplantae, Streptophyta, Magnoliopsida, Cucurbitales, Cucurbitaceae. The record is from RefSeq and is a predicted model, not a curated record. The transcript is spliced from 2 exons.
CAUCCACACGAGGGGGAAAAAAAGGCCAAAUAAAACUUGUAAAUACAAUAUGUAAGGUAACAUUGCAGAUUAAUCAUUUAUGCAACAAGAACUGAGAUCGAGUCAUUACAUUCGACGGCCUACAUUUAUGCAACAAGAACCAGAGCCCUCUCAAAGAUAAAAAAAA